Molecule: long non-coding RNA, 789 nt
Filed under: Carica papaya (papaya)
Lineage: Eukaryota; Viridiplantae; Streptophyta; Magnoliopsida; Brassicales; Caricaceae
Description: long non-coding RNA (CPAP_LNC008310)
Source: RNAcentral
GUUGCCUCCAUGUGCAUAUAGGUGGCUUCCUGGGCUAUAAUCGUGCUUGCAUAUGCUUUUUCCCAUGCUGGUGUGCUCUGGGUGCAGGUACCCCCUUGCCCACAGACGUGCCCUCCUUGACCACCUGAAAUGUACUUUUUUCGCAUGUCUAGUAGCACAUCAUUUGUGCAAGUGAUUAAAACACUAAUUAAUUUUCCUAUUGACAUACACAGUCAGGACCUUUUAAUUACUUUAUAGACGUGUCUUUAUUUCUUUAAUUAUAUUGUUGCUAAGGUGGUUAAGAUCUUCCUGUUGCUAAAUGAGUUGUUGAUAUAUAAGGAGUCUGUCUUUAAGAUGAGCUUCAUGAUAUCUUAUAUCACACUUUUGAUUCAAAGAUUGUAUAUGAUGCAUUUCAAUGACUCACCACAGUUCUUCUUAGUAAGGCCACCAUUGCUCACAUGGUAGCGAACUCCUUUUAAUUGAGCCAUUGAUAUUGAGUUUGAACUAUGCUGAAUGUAGAGAUUUUCACCCUACAUUCAGAAAUCUGGUAUGUUCUAUGAUGUGGAAUCCAAGAUCAACAAACAAAAUUAGACACACACAAUUUUAUUCAAGACAUCGAAGGAAUUUGAUCUUAUGAAAAUCCUCCCUACUUAACCAUCUAUCAAGAGUGAUAGAAACUAAGAUAAUUGGAAAAUGGAGGAUUAACAUAAGAAUAGCAAAAUACCACAAGAAAUUAUCUUGAUAAGUAGAUCCACUCCUUACUCAACAAGAAGGAUGGAGAUAACUCUCUUUAAUAAGACUCACAAUAUU